Molecule: long non-coding RNA, 13729 nt
Organism: Gadus chalcogrammus (walleye pollock)
Lineage: Eukaryota; Metazoa; Chordata; Actinopteri; Gadiformes; Gadidae
Exons: 3
Source: RefSeq, a predicted model, not a curated record
UGGGCUGGCCCAAUCACAUCCCCUGGGCUGACCCAACACCAACCCCUUUCGAUUUGGACCUGCCUACAUAAUGCAUUAGGACGGUAAACAAACUCAGCGUGGCCCAUGGCCUUGACAUUCUUGACACGCGCACGCUAGUCUGCGGCCCAUUGGCUGUCUUCUGUACUGACUAGGGGCUCGUCCAAUCAUAUCACAAAACACCUUCUACCUUUAGCUUGGUCGGUGCACAGAAACGCACGUUUCGUGAGUUCCUCCAGUCCAAAAUGGAGAGAAAGAGAAAAGGGGGUGCAGAGAAACUGCGAGACAAGAAGAGGCUUGCUCUUCAAGCCAAUGCUGCCAAAUGUGGCAAAAUAUCAGAAAUGUUUGCCACGGCAGGGCCAUCCUCAGCUCCCGUGGAUGACAGUGAUGCUGGUGGCGAUACGAUACAACGACCUACGGUACACACCCAGUCGGAUGAACUCUACCCAUUACUGUGAUGGACGUGGAGUAUACUUUUUUUGUUAAUAAAUAACACCUUUUGGAAGUGUAUAAUGCGUCCACUCUCACUGAUUGAUUUUAACUCAUUGCAUGGCUUAAGGUAUGUGGAAAAUAGUUGCACAGUUGGAGUCAGGCUUUUAGCUAGGAUUUUUUGUGCAGCACUUGAUAGUUUUUAGGUAAUAUUACAAUUACACUGAUUUAUUUAUAUGUUUAGUAAUUUAAUACAUAAUAACAGUGAGUGUAACUGAAACUAGGCAACAAGGUACAAAAUUCAAGUAACAACUUUAACAAAAAGAAACAACUUUCUACACAACUUUAAAGUGUAUGAUGUAUAUUGUAUUGUAUUGAAUUUAGAUUAACUAAGACCACCACCUUAACACACAAACUCUUGUUGAACUCAUAAAGUAGUAGGUUCAGUGACGUGCGGUGAGACAGCUGUCUUCUGUAGCUUCUGCGAGCCCGUGAAUCAAUGUUUCGUUGGAAUCAUGAUGUAACGUUGUUGUAGCGGGAAUACAGCAAUGCUAUUUUCUAAUUGGCAGGGCAUAUGUAUGAUUCUAGACUUCGCUAGGGCACUGAAGCGACUGAAUUUCCCAUUUCUUCUUAUUUUUUAGUAGACUAUAGAGCAGACGCCCUGCUAGCUAAAAGCCUGGUUGGUGUAGACAUUCGAGAGACCAAAAAGACUGAAAAGGUGUGUUAUCGAAUUUAGUGGGCCGGUCUGGUUCAAAAUGCCCGGGCCGAUUUUUUUGUCCCAGUCCGCCCCUGCCAACGUCUGUAACGUUACGGUCUGAAAACCAGGGUCCACAACCUGUGUUCGCGUUGGUCCAUUUAUCUAACGUUACAGAAUAGCAAAUUAUCCAUAUAAUCGCCACAAUUUCGGUAAAUAUAACCAUUUUAACCUCUUAAAUUUGAAACUAUAGGGCUUCACGGGUGUUCAUAGUUAACGUUACAGCGUCACUAACUGUAACGUUACCUUACUUAUAUUGCCUAUUACUUUAAUGAAAAAAGUUUUAAGGGCCCUUGUUUUUUUUAACAUUUGUAUCGUUAAAUACUCGAGUGACUAGAAACCAAAUACUUACAUUUAAAUGCAGAACUUAAAUCGCCAUUCUCCGCCAUCUCCAUUGAUUGAGGCUGUUUCCCAAUGUCAAGGAAGCAUGCUCAACGGCCGCCCUUUUAAGGACGCUACGUCAUCGAACGCCGACAAGCACUUUUCCAAUGUUGAGGACACUCGAAAUACGCCCCCUUUUCGGGUCCUUCGUUUUUGAGAAUUCCGAGAUUUUUCAAGGAUGCAUCGCUGCAUCCUAGACGAGCCAAAACUACCCACAAUCCUCUGCGUUCACUGGGCGGGUUCUUGAAAAUGGCAGAAGUACACGUUCAAACGAAGUGAAGUUAUAUUAGUUUUCAGAAAUAUUUUGUGCCGUAUUGCUUUUUAUAGAUUCAUCAUGUUAAUGCAAAUAAUCAAGCCUAAAGGCCUGUGCCACUUUUCAAACGUUUUUGCAACUUAAUGAUACGUUGCUAUAUUUUGCAUGGACGUAGCUGGUGUUAAACACCACUGUCACCAAUGUCAAUUUACUCGCUCACAAGAUUACAUUAUUUAUGUAUACCUAUUUAUGUUUUACGUUUUUUUUAGGGUCAGCCCAGCAAACGGAGGCUUUUGUGCGCCUUAGGGUGGCGCACAAACAUUUGUUUGCCGGUGGAAGGGAUAGUGCCACUAUCCAAUGUUGUAAAAUUAAUGCACAACCGAUCAUUUGCAAUGUUUGUAAUUUUUAAUGAACGUAUAUAAUUGUAUUUUAUAUGAUAUACUUAUGUGUUCAAAGCACUGGUAGAUUGUAGGCAUAUAUGAAUGAAUGAAUCAGAUCAUAUAUCCAAAUAAAUACACGUUUAUCAUCUCUUUCUUUGUCUUUUUCCCCCUGCAUAAUAGUAAUCAACCGUACUGUAAAUGUGAUGCAUGAAUUAAGUUCUCAGACAAUUUCACUUAGUUUUAUAAAAAUUUAAUGGAUUUUCCUUUUAAUAAAGACAAUUCGAUCAACCACAACAAAGCUUUUGUGACUUCCCCAAAGAGGCUCCAUGCGAAGGAGACAUGACCGCAUUCAUAACAGACAAAAGUCAAAUAAAUAUCGAUCAGCUUGAUUGCUGCCAUGUUAUAUUCAUAAGCGCACAUGUGUUUACAAGCGGACACGCAGUAUUAAAAAGCGGAAGCGGAAGCGCUUCCACACUACCAAGUCGUUCCCAAAGUCAGACGUUACAAACGCUAGGAAGCACUCGAGCUAGCACUCUAGUCUCAUCUCCAUAGGACGCGACUAGCAAGGACGCGUCCUAGCAAGGCUGCAGCCUUCACUUUGGGAAACUACGGAGCCCCUCUGGUGACAUCUGGGAAAAAAAUAUAUAUCUGUUUGCCCGACUUAGUGAUCUGUUUGCAUGACUUGAUAAUCUGUGGCCACAAUUUAAUAAAUUGCGGGAACGAGAUAAUUCAUUUGUGGCCACAGUUUAAUAAUUUGUGGGAACAAGAUAAUUAUUUUGUGGCCACAGUUUAAUAAUUCGAGUGUGGCUGUGUUGUCUAUUGUCGCAGCAGGGGUUAGACGCAUGUCGGCUAUGGACAAGAUAUAAGAGAUAUCGUUCUAUUUUAACCUCGGAAUGAAUUACAAUGACAUGCUAAAGUCACUUGCUGUUAGGCAAGGAGUUAUUAUAAGUAAGAGGCACUUAAUUAGGCUGCUAAAAAUGCACGGGUACAGCCGAAGACAAUAUGAUGACCUCGGUGACGAGAUAGACUUUAUCAUGCAACAGCUGAAGGGAAAUGGAAACCUGCAUGGAUACAGAUGGAUGUACAGCAAAUGCAUGAAAUUAUUAAUUAUCAUUUGGCAUCCUUGCAAAUUAUAAUUAUAUCUGGCAUACCGAUUCAUAUGAUAAAUGAAAACCAUAUGGAAUCUGCAUCAAUGGUUGCAUAGACAGCUUUUCCCGUAAAAUAAUUUGACUUAAAGCGGCAUACACCAGCAGUGAUCCACAUGUCAUUGGAGGCUACUUUAUGGAGGCCUAGAGGAAUUCGGUGGCUUCUAAGGUCCGCCCCGACACUUGGUGCUGGUGUAGCUGUCAAAACGAGGUCCAUCCUCUAUCACGUCACCGAGGUCAUCAUAUUGUCUUCGGCUGUAGCCGUGCAUUUUUAGCAGCCUAAUUAAGUGCCUCUUACUUAUUAUAACCCCUUGCCUAACAGCAAGUGACUUUAGAAUGUUAUUGUAAUUCAUUCCGAGGUUAAAAUAGAACGACAUGCGUCUAACCCCUGCUGCAACAAUAGACAACCAAAACAUAGAACACAACAUAAGUAUCUCGUUCCCACGAAUUAUUAAACUGUGGCCACAAAUUAAUUAUCUUGUUCCCACAAAUUAUUAAACUGUGGCCACAAAUGAAUUAUCUUGUUCCCGCAAUUUAUUAAAUUGUGGCCACAGAUUAUCAAGUCAUGCAAACAGAUCACUAAGUCGGGCAAACAGAUAUAUUUUUUUUUCCCAGAUGUCACCAGAGGGGCUCCGUAGGAAACAGCCUGAGUGCGCAAUGAAUCUUGGGAGGGAUACGUUGGGCCGUGAAGGAUCUUGGGAUACGUUGGGCCGUGAAGGAUACAGCCGAUGCAUCCAUGGAUGCAUCCUUCAAAUCCGGGAAAAGAAGGCUCCAUUCGUAGGCCGCAUUUGAAGGACCCUUGGAAUUGGGACAGCACUUGGCGCGUCGCGGUGACGCAAUCUGCGUCGACGCAUCCUUCGAAUGCAGCCUUCGAAGGAUGCGUCCUAGGAAUUGGGACAUAGCAGAGCCCGUCUACGAAGAGCCUGGGCACUCCCUAUACGCCCCAUUGUACCGAUUUUGGUUGUAGUUCCAUGAGACAUCCACUGGGGGUGAUCGCGGGCGAGUCCAGAUUGAAUGGGAGUCUAUGGGGCUAAACGGCUAAUUAUGCCUCUUUCACCUGCUUGUCGUAGAAAUAUCGCAAAUUUUAUUGUAGAUUCCGCAAGUUCAAUAUAGAUUAUGGUUCAAAAGUCAAAUGAGUGAGUACUUAUGUCCUUUCGAUUUCUUACAGUUUGGGCCGUUGUUGGCCAUACACGCUAGCAUUCUGCUAAUGAAUGCUGAUUGGUCAGGGACGGACUUGCGACUGAUUACGACCAGAGACCCCUCUUACGGCAUCUGAAGCUGAAGAGCAAUCAGAAACGUGUUAACUCAAUUUUUGAGUAGGCCUACUGUAUUUAUAUUUUCCUGCAGUUCCUUUUAUUUUUUAGAUAGUAGCCUAUGUAUGGUGAAAGUACAUGGGCAUAAAUGGAAUUUCUUCCAUUUCUUGUGUUCAAUGUGUUAUAUACAUGGUAGGUACGCUAUGACCACCUUAAAUAAUACAGUCAAUAUCCCACUCAAUAUCAUUUAAUCUGUCAUUGUCUAUUUUUCGAAAAUAAAGAUAGUUUAAAAAAGAAAUGCCUCGUGAAUGUGCAAUGAUAAACUGCACUCACAGUGGAAACGGAUUGUCCGUCUUUUCGUUUACCAAGGACAGAAAAAGGUAACGUUCUUGCUUGCUCCUGUAUGAAUGUUCCUAGGCUACCUGAGGCUUCACCUGGUAAGGAAAGUUGCGCUGGAGCCCGGCCGGGUAAUAUCGCACAUGGCUUAUUCAAGUUGCGCGCUAGACAUUCUCUAAAGUGUCGAGACUCAAGCACUUAACUUACCUUAACCGAUUGUUCCAUAAAAAUGGUUAGUUAACGAUUUAACAACUUAAACAUCUGCUAUUACAGUCGUUAUUUUUUUGUAGGACUUGGGCUAAUGACCUUGCACAGAGGGAAAACCAUCUCCACCACUUGUCAUUGAUUUCUAUGCAUUCACUGAUCUUUACAGAUGGGUUUGUUUUAAGCCAUUGAAUAUACCUUAGGCCUAAUUGCUCUGCCAUGCAACACAUUAUAAGCUACACAUGUUUGUUAAAUGAGAAAUAUGGUCUGGGUCACAUUGAAACAGUAACAGUUGUAUAACAGUAAUUAUACAAACAUUAUACCAACAUUGCAACAGGCAAGUUUAUUCAAACAUCACACUAACAAGAACACAAUAAGAACAGUAACUAAUAAAAAAAAAGAGAAAUGAUUUAACAACACUGAACAUACUGAACAGAGGCAGGGGAAAAGGACAGAGGAAGAAGACUUGUCCGUUGUCACAGCAUCAAGGUCCGACUGUAGAGAUCAAGAAAGGAAGAGGCAUGAGGAGAACAACAGAACACUGCUCUCUAGCAGAUUGUUUACUGAUGUAAACUAAAUUGAUGCAGUCUUAAAAUUAUGAUUCUAAUCCAGGUUUCUAUUUUAGGAGAAAGAAAUGGCUCAUAAUCGUUACUAAAAAAAAAAGCUUUAUCAUCGGCACUAGUGAGGAUUAGAAAAAACACUCUGUAACAUACAUAUGUAAAACAUUCGCGCAUUUCUUUUUUUUACAUUAGCUCACUAAAACUCUAACUAGGGCAAAAAAAAAGCCUUACCUCCAACAGCUGGUGUUAUCGUUGCGGGACAAGGGAAGGGCUUUAGAAAACUGCCGUAAAGCAGUACCUCUGACCGUAUUACAGUGUGUGACGUCAUCGCAUGUUUUUAACGCCUUUUUAGAACAGAUACGUGACCUUAAAAAAUGCAAUAUUCAGCUGAGUUUAUUAUCUUAGCCCCACCCUUUGAUAGCAACUUUAAAAUUACUUGACAAAAAAUUACAUCGUGAGAAAAGUGGAUUCUGAGGAUAAAACCCCGUUGGCUCCCAUUCAUUCUGGACUCGCCUACGAGCGCCCCGCGUGGUCAAAGAUUAUUACUGCAACCAGUCCAGAAAACCGGAACUAACCCGCGAGUGCCAGUUCUCCUCAUAUAGGGAUGGCUAGUCACUACGUCAUCAUAUCAAAAAACGUCACUUCCGAGUCCACUCGUGUCCACUCGCUAACAUUCUAACAGUAAAAUGGUGCAGUGCUGUGUCCCGUGUUGCAAUAACCGCAAUGACGUCAACAAAACAAUCUCUUUUUACCGAUUUCCCCUCGAUGAAAAAGAGAAGAAGAGAUGGCUGAAGUUGAUACGGCGUGACAAGUUCACCCCGAACUACAACUCCAGGGUCUGUGGGUGGCAUUUUCCUGAUGGCAAAGCAGCUGGGCCAACACGGUUUGCAUGGAAUGACGGAAAGGCUUUCCCCGACCACAUCCCCACCAAACGUAAAAAAAGAAUGGUCCCUGCGAGCGUGGAGGAUGAAGGAACAGCUGGACCAGGCCCAAACCACCUUGGCAUUGCUCCACAGACCCCUGGUACUUCAAGUGUUGUGCUUGAAAUUGAGAAUGAUAUGCAAAAGAAAAUAACCAACUGAAACGAGAAUUGGAGAAACAAAAACAAACAUUUUCAUUCAGUCAAAUCUCCUCACACCCUGACAAAGUUAAAUACUACACUGGCUUGACAGAUGCUGCCACUGUCUUCUUUUUGGAAGCCCUUCUCUCCAAAUUUGAUCUCCAGUACCACUUUAAUUGGAAUGUCCAAAUUAUGCCCCUUAUCGAUCAGCUACUCCUGACUUUGAUGAAGCUCCGACUGAAUUGUGGCAUUCUAGACCUUGCAACAAGAUUUAAUUGCUGCCGUGCCACAGUCACCAACAUCUUCACCACAAUCAGCAGUGCACUGUAUGACAUUUUGUAUGUUGGCAUGAUGGAAAACAACAUCCCCUCGAGAUUCAAGAACCAACAUCCCUGCCAGAUUGCUUCCAGCCAUUCCCAGACUGUCGGAUUGUGCUUGACUGCACUGAAGUGGCCGUCUCCAAUACAGAAAGACUGGACACCCAGAGUCAUCUGUACAGUCAUUACAAAGGACGCACCACACUUAAAGCUCUGAUCGGUGUGGCUCCCAUUGGAGUUAUAACCUUCGCCAGUGACCUAUACGGUGGAAGUACCUCGGACAAGGCGAUAACAGCUGACUGCGGAGUACUCCAACAGCUAGAACCAGGUGACAUGGUAAUGGCAGAUUAGGGAUUCACUAUUCGUGACAUUUUGCCUGAGGGAGUGUCACUGAACAUCCCAACGUUCCUUGUCAAUGGACAGUUCACAGUGGAGGAAGUAAACCACAACAGACUCGUUGCCUGUGCAAGGAUUCAUGUAGAGCGUUCCAUACAACGUCUGAAAACAUUUGGCAUUUUGACCUACAUCCCGUACCAGCAUAAGAAGCAUGCCAACAAGAUCCUAAAAGUAUGUGUUAGUCUUGUGAAUUUACAGAAGCCCAUUCUUCAAGAAAUUGCAUGAAUAAAUGUCAUUGUUUUACUCGUGUCUAUCUCAUGUCUGUCACAUCAAAAUCAUUCAGUUUAAGCCACCAUCAGUUGGGAACUACUUGGACAUACACUUUGACAGGCUAGGUGCAAAACAAGCUGAACUAGCAGACAAAUUUGAGUCUUCACACAGUUGCUCCCACUCCCAGUCAGUUUAUUGUUAACACAAACAAUGUAACAAAACAAUAAUAUAGUGAAUGAAUAGUGAACAUGAAUGAGGCCUUACCCUUAAAAGGUCCCAUGACACGGCACCAGGUGUUGUGUGAUUAGCUUACAAGCUGUUUGGGAAAUCUGCCCCUUAUGACAUCACAUGUGGGCGUGUCCACCUAGAUGUGUGCUGGAUAGAUCAGUCUACCAGCCAACACAGUAGACUGCAGCAAACGUUGCUCAUCUAUCCGUCAUAAAUCUAGGUGGACACGCCCACCUGUGAUGUCAUAAGGGGCAGAUUUCCAAAACGGCUUGUAACGGCUAAUCACACCACACCUGAUGACAUGUCAUGGGACCUUUUAAAGAGACUAGGUGUAUCAGUGUAAAUGGCAUCUGACUAUGUGUAGUGUGUUAUGAACUGUGUGAUGAGAAUGUACAACAAAACAAAAGGAUAGAUACCUUGGUGGCCCGGCAAGCUGCAGAAGAAAGAAAUCCUUCACUAGAACAGGUCAUGAAUGCAGAAGUAUGCGAGGAAGGAAACAAUCCUUAUAAAAUGUUUCCAGAAUGUUAAUGUUGCUAGCCCAUGCUGGGUCUUUAGGGAUGAGCAGGAUAACAAGGUCAAGAGGAGUCCACACCACAAGAUGACAAUUGUUGGCAGGUGCAUUUUGACCAUGUAGCACACAGGGAUGUUUCCAGCACUAAUGGAGAGAAAGCUAGUCAAUACCGUACACCUGAAAUCAAUAGAGACUAUCUUUGUAUGUAUCACCAUAAGGCAUUCUUAGUUUGCCCAACUGUGGCUCUCACAAUGGCUUCUUUCUGACAGCAAGCGAUGAAAGCACAUACAGAGCUUUGUUCUCUGCAUGGCCAUAACCUGAGCUGGUCACUACCCCAUCAAAGGUCUUGAUAGGGACGGUCUAAGUAAAACAGACAAAUAUCAUGAAAUUAGACAGAAAAUGUUGGUUAAUGAUGUUCAGUAAGUCAUGGACCACAUAUGCUGUUUGGCAACACAGUACAAACAAAAUACAUUCAAAGUGUGAACAGUUUGAUGUCUGAUUUACAAUGGUUUAUAUCUAUGGGUAUGUAAACUUGAAUUGAUCAUCAGUUGAAAUGGAGUGUGGUGGGAUAACUCAAUCAAACUUAUCUAAUUUGUAACUGAUUUAAUGUAGUGUACUUGUCAUGUUUCUCAUAUACCAGGACGUGACAAAUCAAAAAUACAAAAAUCUUUUCAGCCCAAAUCAGCAGGGCUGCUACAUGGUGACACUAGCCGCGUUUACAUGGACACAUCUAUGCCGCAUACAUUUCUAUGCGGCAUAGAAAAUGGUCAUGUAUACGCCUCAUUCGGAAUACAAUUAUCUGUUCGGCAUAGAUUCUAUGCCGAAUAGAAUAGGUGGUGUAGUCCGUUUUAAAUCGCCAUGUAUACACUUAUUCCGCAUAGAUGGGGUUUAACUUAGAGCAGCCGCAGUAGUUCACUGAGCUCUGUCUGUACUUUUAAGCACACCGAACUUCACCGCUGUCAAGGAAAGUGGAUUUAUUGCCUGAUUCAAGUCUUUGUUAUCACUCCGUAAAAGUAGUCCGGUAAGCGUGUCCGGUUGCUAAGCGACGGGACAUGGGUGUUUAUUAAUGAGGUGUCCGCGCGCGUCCGAGAUAACUGUAAAUGAGUAGGCUACUACUAGUACUUUUGCAGGCUGAACGUUAAAAUACUUCUUAACUUAGAGAGAUGGCAGCUGCAGUAGUGCGCAAUUGGACCUUCGAGGAUUCCUGGUCACUAAAUUCCCGUAAGACCACUCUCUCCCAUCAGUCUUGGCUGCGGACUCGCAUUCAAAUUCCUCUUGUUUGCGGCGGAGCAUAGGGUAAAUAUAAAGAUCUGACGAGAAAUUGACGUUGCUGCGCUGUCCUCCUCCUUCUUAAUUGAAGGAGCAGGCAGAGAAAAGCUCUCUCCUGCUGUGCUUUCAUUAAAAUCAAAUUUAAAAUCCCUGAUAGUGAUAAGACAUCCAUUAUGUCCCCGCCGGUCCAGAGACGUGUCAGGUGUGCGCGAGAGACAUAACGGACACUUUUGUUACUGCCAUGUAUACAGUACAUUCGGAACACAUUUUAGGAACAGAUCUAUGCCGCAUAGAAAUCUAUGCGGCAUAGAUCUGCCAUGUAAACGCGGCUACUUGGCCCUCCCGAUAGCACAAGAGCAGGUACUUGCCUUCACCUCCUGUCCCUCAACGUGUACCUGAGUGAAAACAACUCAACUAGCUAACCCUCAUCAAACCCUAAGACAGCUAGACAGCUAAAGGACUAUCAGCAACGCACACCCUGUGUUUACAUUAGAUAGCUAUCGCUAGCUUCCAAUGCGAAAUUCACUAACCUGUCUAGCUAUGUUUUAAAGUUGUAUGUUAUGCUAUUACGCUGAAAACAACUAAUCUAGAUAACCCUCACCAAACCCCAACACGGAUAAAGGACAGCCCUGUGUUGACAUUAGCUAUCAACACCCUUACUUUCUCACCCCAACAUCGUAGCUUUUUUUUUUCAUUGACGCCUGGACGUUCCCUGUCAGACUUCCACCUGACAUUAGUACUGAUACUACCCGAUUCGAAUUGUAAGAGUUAAGACCCUUUUGGACAGACUUCGGGAUGUCGGUAAAGUACGCCGUCACUGUAUAGAACGUGACUGGUUCCUGUGCUGCUGUAGCCAUCGUUGUUAGCGAAUGGACACGGUUUAGCGAUUGGACACGGAAGUGGACGUCUGACGUCACACUAGCCAUCCCUAUUAGACAUUCUCUGGACAUAGAGAGAAACCCGGAAGUGUUCUUGAUGCGUUCUUACAUCGAUGGUGACUUGUGUGGACUUGGGACCGUUAAAUAUCCUAGGAUGCAUUUCGCAUUCCUGUUUUAAUGUAUCGGUGUGUAAGCUAUAAAAUAGGCUAUAUAGGAACAUUUUAAAAGUAUAACAAAGAUGGAGGCCUAUUCAACAUAUUUACAUACUAUUAUUUUAAAAUGAAAGGAGUUUUGUUUUAUAUAAUUUGUUUAUAUUGUAUAAGUCGCUGAUGGAGGAAACACAUCGCAACUGAAUUCCCGGUCGGAUCCAUCUGAUCGUGUGUGUGUGUGUUCUAUUCUCGCUCGUUCGUAAUUCUUAUCAAUAGCCAUACUCUCCAAUAAUAUAAUAGGCUAUAUAUGAAAGUUGAGAAACGACAAUCUUUUUCAAGCCACUGAUUGUUUAUAUGUAGGGUACAGCUGGCUUGCCGUGUGAAUACGCAUAACUUUUCAUUUAUAUUCAUUCAAAAUAUUAAUAUAGCCUACUAUUUUACAACUAAAGAAGCUGGUGUUUAUAAUUUGUUUAUAUUGUUCAGUAGUUAUAUCGUAGUCGAGUUGAGGGGGGAUGGCAUCCCCCUUAGGUAUUAAAAUGGUCAAAACCAUCCCCCUUAUGAAACGGCCAUCCCCCCUUCCCAUCCCCUGUUAUUUGAUAAAUUAAUGUUGAAAUAUUGCCACUAUUUAAUUUUUAAACAUUCUACAUUUUAUAUGUGCACGUCACGUGCCCCUCAUCCACAGUAUUUUAGCCGCUAAAAUACUGUGGACGAGGGGCUCGUGCACAUAUGUCACGUCAGUGAUAGCAGCGCAGCAGGUGAUUUCAGCAACAUGGCCAACCAUAAGCGACAAGGACAGCUUGAUCUGAGGGACUACUUCGGCUUUAAGAGGACAAAAAGUACCACCGAAGGUAAGUCAAGAAUACUUAUGAUAUGUCACCAAAGGUGUAAUCUCUGGACAGAGGCGAUAACAACACAGUUAAGGAUGUUAUGAUAAUGCGCUUACUUGUGCUCUGCGCUCAGUAAAGGUGUUCGUUACUUAGCAACGCAGGGCCGCUUGCCAAAGCUUCUGCUCCUGUUUUUUUGCUUUUCAUCUUCACCCUACAUUGGCCAGUAUAGUUGUUCAAUUGUACAUAGUUGUUCAAUCUUGAAGAUAGAUGGGGUGCAUUUUGAAUGUGUAUUCUUUUUUAAUCACGAUCAAACACUGACAGCCAAACUGCCGGACUUCGUGAACAUACCCUCAUUGUCAGGGCUCAGCUGACUCUGCGACGUAAUUGUCAGUUCAGCUUUUAGACUGUUAAAAUCUUCAAAACUUUGAGGCUAUCUGAUUACAGCCUAUAAGCCUAAUUUACAAUACAACCAAACAAACAAUUCUGAGGUAUAAAACAAUUGUGGGGAUGUCAAUGGUUUUAUAUAGGACUAGCCUAGUCAUGUCUCAACUUAAAUCACCGCCUGAAUUUUAUUACAAUAUUCUAUAAAACCCGUACAAAAACAGCCUAAAAUAUUGGCAUCGGAACUAGACUGUUUUUUUUUUGUGUAACAUUUAACAGUUCAAACAGAUAUAGUUUGGAGCUUACGUUUUUUUUCUUGUUAACUAGCCUUACGCCAGGCAGCUAGCUGCUAGUAGCCAACGUCAGGUUAGACUUUUCAUACAUUCAUAAAGUUAAUGUCAGAUUUGAUUUCUUCAAACUGCGUUCGCAUCUGUGUAGCGCGAACGACAGAGAGGGAGAGGGACCUAGAGACUGUGCGUGUGUGAGGCAGUGUGCGUGUGUGCUUCAGGAGCAUCCUGAUUGGCCGGUUUCGGUAAAUCAACCAAUCAAUUUUCAGUGUGGGCGGGCUUUUAUCUCUUCUCCCGAAACAAAUUAAUCAGUUCAGUGUACAGGGGCACUGUCACACUAAAUUUGUACCGGGGGCGAAAUUUGUACCGGGCGCGUCAUCAUUACGUAAUCCAUUACAAACCUGCCCUGCAACAGAUGAUCGCGUCGUCCGUUGCCGGGAAGGUUUCAAGAAACAUUCGCGCUCAUGUUGCCAAAGACGAAAUAACAUAAUACAGUUAACGGAUCGCUAGAUAAUGUAAUGUUUUGUUGGGUUCCUUAAUAAACACACGAUGUAUCUUGGAACAGACAUCAACAUGCAGCGCGCCAAUCCAACUGCACAUGCUCCGUGUGACGGUCUAAUAACUGAUGUUGAUAUCAUUACAGAUAACACUUGUUUUUACUUUAUAUUUGUAUUGUAUCUAAUUGUUUAAUCAAAUUUAGCAAGUAAACUGAGUGUUUAAAGCAGGUCAAGGACGAAAUAGCACAAUACAGAUAACGGAUCGCUAGAUAGAAGGUUCGCGAAUGUUCACGUCAUUCGACGCGAUCGUCCGUUGCCAGGCAACGGACGAAGCGAUCAUCUGUUGCCAGGCAGAUUUGGAGUGGAUUACGUAUGGAUGACGCGCCCGGUACAAAUUUCGCCCCCGGUACAAAUUUAGUGUGACAGCACCAUGGCACAGGGAGAGUGCCCCCAAAAAAGAAAGACAUUUUAAAGUUGCAAUGGAAUACAAAUAAAAGCAGUUAACAUAAACAGGAUAGUAGUAGCAGCAUAUAAUAAAUAGUAAAAGCAGGGGUUUUUCUAGAAAAAAUUCACAAGGGGGAAAACGGAAAAAACGGUGCGGAGCUUUUGAAAAUUUGCAAGACAAUCCUUGCUUUUCUUCACCCCGCGGCACGACAUUUUAAAAACACUGUAAACUAAGUCACCAAACGCUAUAUUUUCUUUCUUCUCAGACACUCUCAGAUUCACUGAACUGAUACAUUUGGUUCGGGAGAAGAGAUAAAAGCCCGCCUACACUGUAAACUGAUUGGUUGACUUACCGAUCCCGGCCAAUCAGGAGGCGCUGUCACGUUAAAAUUGUACCGGGGGCGAAAAUUGUACCGGCCUACGUCAUCAGUUGUUUACAUCUUGACAACCUGUCUGGCAACAGACGACGCGAUCGUCUGUUGCCGGGCAGGUUGCAAAAAACAUUCGGCUCAUGUUUCCAAAAGACGAAAUAACAUAAUACAGAUAACGGAUCGCUAGAUAA